GAACACAGCAGGCCGACGUUUCGGGCCUAGACCCUUCUUCAGAAAUGGGGGUGGGAGGGGAUGGUGGAAGGUGGAUAAAGGAGCAGAUAGGUGGAAAGAAGACGGACAGGUCAAGGAGGCGGGGAUAGAGCCAGUAAAGAUUCUUAGAUACUGAAGAAAUCAUCAAUCCCUGCCUUAAAUGGGAUGGGACGCAUCCAAGGAUAUCGAUGAAAGUAGUGAUGGAAAUUUCAGAGACACUGGUCAUUUUCUUCUAAUCCUUUUUAUAUACAGGGAUGGUGGGCAAAGGACUAGAAAUUGAAAAUGUUAAUUCCAGCAAAGUUGAAGCCUAUGGAAUAAAAGGUAAAGUGACAGUAUAGAUAUGAGAGAUAAGUAGGAACUACAGAUGCUGGAGAAUCCGAGACAACAAGGUGCAGGGCUGGAUGAACACAGCAGGCCAAGCAGCAUCAUAGGAGCAGAGAGGCUGACGUUUCGGGCCUAGACCCAUGAAAUUGGCCAAGAUCAGGCUCAUAGAUUUAGUGAGCCUGAAAAGUGUACUGGAAAGAGAAAACCAAGCUAACAGUGAGCAGAAUUCAAUCAACUGUGAGUUGAAACAGGGAUCAAAGAUUUAAAUUUAGGUAAGAUAUACUUUGGAGAAAUGAAGCAAAAAUUCACCACAAUAGAAUUGUGAAGAACGAGAAUCAUAGAUUAGUUACUGCACAGGAAGAAGCCACUUAGCUCAUCAAUCUCAUGUUUCAGCUGGUGCCAUUCCCUUGCACUUUCCAUUAGACUCAUUCAUGCUUACUACUCAUUAUGAAAUCUACACUCUUGCUAGGAUUGAAUAAAUAUCAGCUUUUGUCUGAUUAUGUACUGAUCCAAUCAUAACUUUGAAAAGGGCAUUGAAUAACAUCUGGACAGAAGAUAUUGCAGGGCUAUGGGAAAGGACUGGCAAGUGUGACUAGCUAAACUGCCAUUGUAGAGUGCCAUCAUAGGCAUGACAUGUCAGAUGGUCUCCUUCUGUGCUAUAACCAUUCUAUGAUUCGAAAACUCUUGGAAUUCUGGAGCUCUCCCCAAAACGUUCUUGAAGCUGGGCUUUGAAUUACCUAAAAAUCUCAAAACUGUGAUCGUAGAUUUUUGUCAGAUAAGAGUAUUUUAAGGAAUAUCAAAGUAAGGUAGGUGGAUGGAGUUAAUAAACAAAUCAGCAGUUGUGAUCUAACUGAAUGUCAGCAGAUCAGGUUUGAUGGGCCAAAUGAUCUCUUCCUGUUGUAAAUAGUUUGAUUCCAAUAUCCAAAUGGUUUUCAACAUACUCUGUUUAUUGUACUUAACCAAGACCAGACAUGCACAAUGCAUUUGACCAGUAGAUACACAGAGAAAUGAACAAUAUUACUGCAUUGCCCCAGAUAGGGUUGCAACUUUGCUGAACCUGACCCUAUGCAAAAAACUUCAGAAUUUUAUAGUUUAUUUCUCACCAUCAUUGUUGAUUCACUUUGGCAAGACAAGUGUUAUUGUACAGAAGAAGGUAUAUUUUCUUGAAAAAAAAAGACAACUUGGCUAUCACCUGGGAUUUAAAUUGAUAUCCCGGGUUCCACUGUCCCACUUUGUAUCUCAGGACUGUCUCAGCUAUCUAACUUCACAAAAAAUGAAUAAAGAUGUGCAUUUUAGCAAAAUCUAACAGCAAAGUCAUUUGGAUUGUACUUUGGCGCAUUAAAUUCCAAAGCAUCCUGCUAAUGAACUUUCCCAAUUCCAUUAGAUGCAGUUACAGUAAAAAUCUACAGCUGCCUAGUAGUGAAAUUCAAGUAAAAGCUUUAACCAUAUGAAAUGUAAACCGAAUCCUAACCUUACGUACAUAACAUAAUGAGACUAUCUUAUACUUUUACUACCAAUAUCUAUGGCAAACAGUGACAUGAUAACGGUCAGAAGUGAGAGAUAGAACACUUCCAAUAUCAAUGGACUUGCAUCCUAUUGACGGUCAGCACCUGCAGGCAGGUAGGACACCUCUAUUUCAAUUGGAGUCAGCAACCUCAGGAGAGGAGGGGACCGCCAUCCAGUUGGAAUCAGCACCUUCAGGAGAAGAGUGGACCAGCAUCCAACCAGUGACAGUCAGCAUCCGCAGAGAGGAGGAAACAUAUAUAUUCCAGUGACAGCAGCUUCAGGAGAGGAGAAUCUUUCUGUUGAGUUUUGAGAAAGGCAGUACUGACAUAAAGUGAGGCAGGAGAGAUUCUGAUAGUGUGUCUGCUUAUUUUUCAACAUUUUUGUUUAAUUUUUCAGAAAUUAUGUUUCUAAGUGACAGUAAUUAACAAAACAUGUCAAAUAAAAUAUGAUAACAUGCA
Rhincodon typus (whale shark) is the source of this 2306-nucleotide long non-coding RNA. RefSeq lists it as uncharacterized. The record is from RefSeq and is a predicted model, not a curated record. The transcript is spliced from 2 exons. NCBI's taxonomy places the organism in Eukaryota, Metazoa, Chordata, Chondrichthyes, Orectolobiformes, Rhincodontidae.